RNAcentral lists this ribosomal RNA (271 nucleotides) under uncultured bacterium. RNAcentral's name for it is "partial 16S ribosomal RNA". It matches the Rfam family "Bacterial small subunit ribosomal RNA", at positions 524 to 794 of the family's 1533-position model. The record is from RNAcentral.
UACGUAGGGACCGAGCGUUGUCCGGAUUUAUUGGGCGUAAAGCGCGCGUAGGCGGCCGUUCACGUCGGAUGUGAAAGCUCGGGGCUUAACCCUGAGAGGCCAUUCGAUACGGGACGGCUUGAGGCAGCUAGGGGAGAGUGGAAUUCCUGGUGUAGCGGUGAAAUGCGCAGAUAUCAGGAGGAACACCGGUGGCGAAGGCGGCACUCUGGGCCGGAACUGACGCUGAGGAGCGAAAGCGUGGGGAGCGAACAGGAUUAGAAACCCGAGUAGU